UAGGGAAUCUUCCACAAUGACGCAAGUCUGAUGGAGCAACGCCGCGUGAGUGAAGAAGGUCUUCGGAUCGCAAAACUCUGUUGUUAGAGAAGAACACGAGUGAGAGUAACUGUUCAUUCGAUGACGGUAUCUAACCAGCAAGUCACGGCUAACUACGUGCCAG
Molecule: ribosomal RNA, 163 nt
Filed under: uncultured bacterium
Lineage: Bacteria
Description: partial 16S rRNA
Rfam family: Bacterial small subunit ribosomal RNA
Source: RNAcentral